This 773-nucleotide unclassified non-coding RNA is filed under the name Hevea brasiliensis (rubber tree). Lineage: Eukaryota; Viridiplantae; Streptophyta; Magnoliopsida; Malpighiales; Euphorbiaceae. The record is from RNAcentral.
AAUGGAAGAUACAAAUGGCAAUAAUAAAUGCAAUCGAUCAGAACAAAAAUUUCAUUUCAAAAGCAAUUACAUAAUCAAAACAAUUGAAAAGAAAAUUUCUUUGUACAAAGACCAUUAAAGUAUCAAUUCCUUGACCAGAAAAUGUAUUAAAGGGCAUUAACAAGAAUCCAAUUCUCCACAUGUAGGUUCAUUAAAAUUGUUGCAAAACCAUUCAUGAGAGAAGAUCCAAAUCCAAUACCUCUGUACUCCAAUAUUUAAGAGAUCAAAGACUCAGAUUUCAACGGAUUACACUGCUGGGACUUUCAAAGCUAAUUGACAUAAUCUUAAUAACAUAGCAUUUGUUUAGUUUAUGAAACCAUCUUAUAUGCUAUAACUUCGCAUAGGGAAACACACAAUAUAAAAGGCAAUGGCCACAACAAUAUUAUUUUCAUAAAAUUUUUAAGAACCUGCACAAAAGUUGAAUCUUUAUUAUCACAAAGCAUAUACUACAAAUUCUAGGAUACCCAAAAACAUGCGGAUUUUCAGAAAACUCAAACUAAUGUAUAAAAAAAGAAAAGAAAAGUAGUCUGUUCUACAGUGGAUGGUCUAAUUAUAACAAAGAUUCAAGGAAAAAAGACACUAAAUUUCUUAAAGCUGCUUGCAUGCUCAAUACAAAUGGGUAUAUAAUUCCAUAAAUAAUCUUCCGAGCUAAAACAAAAAAACAAGAAGCAAGAGACCGAAAAGACUCACCAAAGAACUGAGUAAAGAUGUGGGUGAAGAAGCUCAAGUUGCGA